This 459-nucleotide ribosomal RNA is filed under the name uncultured bacterium. RNAcentral describes it as "partial 16S ribosomal RNA". It matches the Rfam family "Bacterial small subunit ribosomal RNA", at positions 338 to 795 of the family's 1533-position model. The record is from RNAcentral.
CCUACGGGUGGCAGCAGUGAGGAAUAUUGGUCAAUGGGCGGGAGCCUGAACCAGCCAAGUCGCGUGAGGGAUGACGGCCCUAUGGGUUGUAAACCUCUUUUGCCGGGGAGCAAAGUGCCGCACGUGUGCGGUUUGGAGAGUACCCGGAGAAAAAGCAUCGGCUAACUCCGUGCCAGCAGUCGCGGUAAAACGGAGGAUGCGAGGUUUAUCCGGAUUUAUUGGGUUUAACGGGUGCGUAGGCGGACGCUUAAGUCAGCGGUACAAUUGCGGGGCUCAACCUCGUCGAGCCGUUGAAACUGGGUGCCUUGAGUGGGCGAGACGUACGCGGAAUGCGUUCUGUAGCGGUUCAAUUCAUAGAUAUCACGCAGAACUCCGAUUGCGAAGGCAGCGUACCGGCGCCCACCUGACGCUGACGCACGAAUGCGUGGGUAUCGAACAGGAUUAGAUACCCCUGUAGUC